Molecule: ribosomal RNA, 301 nt
Filed under: uncultured bacterium
Lineage: Bacteria
Description: partial 16S ribosomal RNA
Rfam family: Bacterial small subunit ribosomal RNA
Source: RNAcentral
CAGUAGCCGCGGUAAUACGUAGGUGGCAAGCGUUGUCCGGAAUUAUUGGGCGUAAAGAGCUCGCAGGCGGUUUCUUAAGUCUGAUGUGAAAGCCCCCGGCUCAACCGGGGAGGGUCAUUGGAAACUGGGAGACUUGAGUGCAGAAGAGGAGAGUGGAAUUCCACGUGUAGCGGUGAAAUGCGUAGAGAUGUGGAGGAACACCAGUGGCGAAGGCGACUCUCUGGUCUGUAACUGACGCUGAGGAGCGAAAGCGUGGGGAGCGAACAGGAUUAGAUACCCGCGUAGUCCCUGUCUCUUAUAC